This 253-nucleotide ribosomal RNA is filed under the name uncultured bacterium. Its description in RNAcentral is "partial 16S ribosomal RNA". It matches the Rfam family "Bacterial small subunit ribosomal RNA", at positions 524 to 776 of the family's 1533-position model. The record is from RNAcentral.
UACAGAGGGUGCAAGCGUUGUUCGGAAUUAUUGGGCGUAAAGGGCGCGUAGGCGGUUCGGCAAGUCUUCUGUGAAAUCUCUGGGCUCAACUCAGAGUCUGCUGGGGAAACUGCCGGGCUUGAGUGUGGGAGAGGAGAGUGGAAUUCCUGGUGUAGCGGUGAAAUGCGUAGAUAUCAGGAGGAACACCUGAGGCGAAAGCGGCUCUCUGGACCACAACUGACGCUGAGGCGCGAAAGCUAGGGGAGCAAACAGG